AUGUGUUUGACCACAAAUAUUGUGACUCACAGAACGCAAACCAUCCUGGAAGGUCUCCCUAUUUUUCUCUGUGAAGAUUCCUCUGCACUUUUUAAAACAUGCCUGGACGAGACUCCAGAGGACAGACAGACCAGAGGGAUGAAGGUGGGAAUCCUUAUUGUAAUUGAAGAUGAUGCCACCCCCACCACACUACCCAGUGUCAUAAAAUUUGCUGUUGUGUUGGAGGAGGUGAUUGUACUGAAAGAUGCUCCAGACUUGCAGUCUGCACUUGCAUACCUGUUCGGCCUUCUGUUUGCCUUGGACUUUGAGUACCCAAAGCAACUAAAAUACACUUUCGAGGUUAUUGAGAAGGUGUUCAUGAAGAUGGGCACUCACUGUUCUCCUAGGGUACAGUCCCUCAAAACUAAGCUAUUACUGUGACGUUGCAUUUGUGGGGUGUUUGUAUCUUAAGCAGUUAAGAUGCAAGUGAAUAGUAUUGUUGUUUUUUUGUUUUUUUUGCAAUGUGCUUGCAUUUUGUUUGACUUGUUUUUGGUUCAACUGUAAACUUGAGGUUGUGAAAAAGAUUGUGCCACUGUUUUAGCACUUUAAGCACAAACGUGAAAGGAACACACUGUCUUUUUGGGACUUUAGCUUAUUCACCAUAUCCACCAGAGUUAGAUAAGUCCAUACAUACCCUUCUCAUCUCUGUGCGUGCUGUAACUCUGUCUGAUGAACCCACAGCUAGCCUAGCUUAGCACAAGGUCACAUGAGACACAGCCAUCUUCUAACCAUAUACAUACUGGGAACUAUAUUCUCAGAAGGCAAAGCACUGCGCAACACUCUGAACGAACUCUCUGCUCCUCAACACAGGGCUUCUCAGGUGCUGCAAGCAAAUCACUCCACAGAAUAGCAGUGCUUUGCCUUCUGAGAAUAUAGUUCCCAGUAUGUAUAUGGUUAGAAGAUGGCUGUGUCUCAUGUGACCUUGUUAUUUGUACACGCUGUGACUAUACAAAUCAAAACGUAAAUAGGAAAAUUGGUGUUAUUUUGACUCUUAUUGAGAGCAGUAUGCUAGCUGGAGCCAUUUACCUCCAGUCUUUGUGCUAAGCUAGGCUAACUGUGGGUUCGUCAGACAGAGUUACAGCACGCACAGAGAUGAGAAGGGUAUGUAUGGACUUAUCUAACUCUGGUGGAUAUGGUGAAUAAGCUAAAGUCCCAAAAAGACAGCGUGUUCCUUUCACGUUUGUGCUUAAAGUGCUGAAACAGUGGCACAAUGUUUUUCACAACCUCAAGUUUACAGUUGAACCAAAAACAAGUCAAACAAAAUGCAAGCACAUUGCAAAAAAAAAACAAAAAACAACAACAGUAUUCACUUGCAUCUUAACUGCUUAAUGGUGAAAAUGGUGAAAAAGCUAAAGUCCCCAAAAGACAGCGUGUUCCUUUUAACUUCCUUUCCUUUAACUAACGUGUUAAUUUAAAAUGUUAAACAUAGAACAUUUAAAGUUUUAAGGACCAAAUGUGAUAACACUUUGAAUGUUUAAAUAACAUUACUCUUAACCUAUUCUUUUAAUUAAUUGUUUAAAGAUGAGUAUGGCUGAAGUGUUUAACAUUGUUGUUGUUUUUUACAUUAACAAUGUGUUGCUGGUUUGAAAUAAAACCUGGACUAAAAUAUCAAGCAUGUAGUAGUUAUUUUUUUUUUUUUAAACCUUGUAAUAUUUAAAAACAUUUUAGUCAACUGAACAAACUUUAUUAAGUCAAGUGAAAAUAACAUUAAAAGUUGAAAUGUUAUAAUUUUCUACGUUUUUUUAACUAUAAAAACUCAAUCAGCUAAACAAAAGAUCUUAAGUUGAGAGAUAUGUGACCUUACUCAGUGAAUUGAGUAAAGUGAACUACUUUGUUUAAAAGUUGACUAAACUCAAAAAAGCUGUGCAGCAAGUUGCCUUGAAAUUUUAAGUUAUGUCAACUUUUCUUUUUUUACAGUAGUUUUGGGGGGUGGUUGAAAUUUAUUAUAUUAUUAUUUAGAACUUAGGUUUGAAAAGGGAACUCAAAAUAUGCCACUGAAAGGUUGUUUAGGGUCAGCGGCUAACAUUUAGCAAGUAGACAUUUAUUUGUAGUGUUCCUUUAAGUUUCCAAGAAAUCAUAAAAAGUCAAAAAAAAAGUUUUGGUUCUCAUACAAAAGAAGAAGUCAUGAGAUCCCCCCAUAAAAACUUUUUCAAAGUGCGGGUGCUAUGUAGUCUGAUGGACAUUUCACUGAACAAACUCACAGAAUCUGUUAAAGCAGCUCAUAAAUCGACAAAAAGUAUGACUUACAAUUAAUGAACUGCAAGGUCCAUAUCAAUCCAUAACUAAUCCUUGUUCUUACUUCUUAACCAAAACAGAAUAACACUGUGAUCACUGUUAUCCCAUUUUCACUCUAAGGAGCACACUAAGACAAUGCUGGUUGUCUGAAGGACUGUGUGUUGGAUCAGGCUGUCAGUUUUACAGGAGCUCCCUAAGGAAAUGUCCUGGCUCUUUUCCAUGUCACCUACAGAAAUACUCUGAUAACACUUUGAUUGCUAGAUGUGUGAGAGGAAGAAUAGUACGAGGGUUUUUAAUGCAGUAGUCUGCUAUUAUAGAAUAAAGGACAGAUAACUGCUAAGGAAUGCAGGGUCUGUCCUGGGAACAAACUCACUGAAGGUGGUGACUGAGAGAAGAGUGCUGUCCAAACUUUUAAACAUUAUGGAUACAUCCAUAACAAGAGCACUUUCCGUUCUAGAAUCAUCAUACCCUGGUGUAACACUGAGAGACAGAAAAUCCUUCCUGUCCCCUGCCAUUAGUCUGUACACUUUAUCCCUAUACUAAUGUUAGUCAUGUAUUUGCAUUACAACCAGUUCCUUUAAGAACUACACAUAUAAAACACAUAUACAUACAUACAUUAAGGCUGAUUUCUACUGGGUGGCCCUUAUUUUUGGCCUUCUGAAAUCUUCUGCUCUCACCUACCCAGUCAACUCUCUUUAAAGAGAAAUGGAAACAAACCAAAUUUCGCUGAGAUUGGACAACAUUUGGGGUGUACUCAACAAAGUCAAAAUUCUUUUGUAAUGACCAUAACAGCAUAUAAAUGAUAAUUAUACAAAACCAUUAGUAAACUGUGAAUUAGGUUAAAAACAAGAACACAGAACAGUGUUGUUAGUCUUAAAAUGUUCACCAAAUACAUUGGUGCCAAUGGUCUCGUGGACAACACACUGACAUGUAGCACCUUUGUGGUUGAGGCGCCCCAAGUUCAAGUCCCGGCUCACAGACCUUUCCUGAUUCUGUCCCACUUCACUUCCUGUCCACUUAGUGUCCUAUUGAAAUUAAGGCAUACAACGCCAAAAAUAAAACCUUGAAAAAGUUAAUUACAACGCUGCUGAUGAGAACUGAUCUUUGAAAAACUGCUAUCUGAUCUAGAUUGUGAUGUCAAUCUGACACGUGCCUCAGCCGCUGAAACUGGAAACAGAUUUUGGUGCUCUCUGACAAUCUGCCUAAUGAACUGCGUUUGUUCUUCAGUCUUUGAGAAGAGUCUGCUGUACUCUUAGAUACACCUCUUUGCAACAUCUCUUUCCUGCAUUCGCAUUGUUCCGGGAUCUUCAUUUAGACAGAAUAACGAAGAAGUUGUGAGACUGCUGUCAUUGGCAUGACAUAUUACCAAGUAUGGUAACCUAUACUCAGAAUUUCUGCUCUGCAUUUAACCCAUCCAAGUGCACACAUACAGCAAUGAGUAGUGAACCCAGCUCAGUCAUGGUUACUGAAGGUGGAAGAGAGCACUGUACAUUCACUCCCUCACCUACAAUUCCUGCCAGUACUGAGAGUCUAAAUUUUAUCAGUGAACAAAAACUCUGCUAAUGUCACCUAUCAGAUCUUGAGGUACCUAUUGAUAAAGAUGACUGAAAAGAUACAGUAGGUAGACAUCCAAAACGUCACUUCUACCGCCGCUCGUACCGCCGCCGCGGCGUCUGCAAAGUGCAUUUGCAGCUUUUGACCGCUGAGUGGCGCUUUAAUCACAAGUUUUCAAACAAGCGCAUCAAAGCACAUUUUUCGCAAAUAGACGUCAGUUUUGCCUCUCUGAUGUGUUACAUUUGACGGCUGCAGUCAGGGAAAAUGAAAGAAAAACACUAUAGUUAAAAAUAUUUAAUAUUCACAGAUGAAAGUUUGGUAAUUAUGAAGUUAUGUGCAUUUCUUAGAACGAAUUCAAGCAGGAUAAAUGUCAAGCCUGUGCCUGAGCCUGUGCUUAUAUUUUCUCUAAGCUACACAGUAUUACACCAUAUUUUAGAUUUGACACAUUUAAUAGGUGUGCAGUAUUAUUUAUAUAAUAUGAAUUACGUGUUAUAUUAUUCAAAAUAAAUUGUGGUUUACUUUGCAUCAGAGCAUUAAAAGUGGUAGCCUAUUUUAGUGAGCUAGGCUACAUGGAUUUAUAUGCAAAAUGUCAAUAUUCUCAUAUAUUAGGCCUAUAUUUU
Cyprinus carpio carpio is the source of this 4448-nucleotide long non-coding RNA. The record is from Ensembl. NCBI's taxonomy places the organism in Eukaryota, Metazoa, Chordata, Actinopteri, Cypriniformes, Cyprinidae.